GACAAAUCAACCCACUUCGUUUAGACCGGAAUAUUCGAUCAACUGUUCAUUCUUAUUCUUUAAGGUCCGUAGAAAACUUCCCAGGUUAGCAUCUCCAAGUUCAGGAAUUUCUGAAUCAGCUUUCGUAAUGAGUAUCUUUAAUACUUGCAAACAAGAUAUCUCAUUAAAGCAUCUUGCUCGAUCACGUAAAGCCAUGGAUCGAAAUACAAGUUAGAGUUCAAAAAAGGUGGGUUGCGACUAUCUUAG
RNAcentral lists this long non-coding RNA (246 nucleotides) under Nicotiana benthamiana. RNAcentral's name for it is "long non-coding RNA (NBEN_LNC028050)". The record is from RNAcentral. Lineage: Eukaryota; Viridiplantae; Streptophyta; Magnoliopsida; Solanales; Solanaceae.